AUUUAAUACAUUUUAGAAUAAGGCUGUAAAGUAACAAAAUGUGGAAAAAGUCAAGAGGUCUGCAUACUUUCAGGAUGCACUGUAUAUCCUUUCAUAGGUAGCAGCGUAAUUGGGAGAAAAUGUAAAUGGUCAAAAUUCAUUCUUAACUUAAGCCUGGUUCUCUGUUUUAUCCCAGUGUUUCAUAACCAAGAUGAUACCAAACCUGACUGGUCUAGCUACAUUAUGCCAACUCAUAUUCUCUCAGUACGAAUUUGAUAGGACACACUAAAUGGGCCAUUCCGCCAAAUCGGUGCCUUUUCCGUCCACAGUAUGUGUAUAAUACAUUAUAUUAUUAUUAUCAAGCAAAGUGUCCUGCACUUUGUCCUAAUUGCAAUUUGAAAACAAAUCAUGUGAAGCCUUGAUAAAAACUACCUAGAACACUGAAAAAGUUGGAUUUUAGCCCGUCCCCACUCUCUAACACUACACUUCACCAUGAAAAAUAAUGAAUAUAAUCCUUCAGAAAUCUWWUUUUWUUKUAUUAUUGUGUGACUAUUUCCAAUUUAGACAUAACAUUUUAAUUUUAAUCCGAAAAUCAUAAUAUGUUAGUUAAAACACACAUUUUAGUCGUGUCCCCAGGUUUUCACUCAGUCCUGUUAGCCUGACACAUUCCCCACUCUAAAAAUGUGGGACAUUCCACAAGUCACAUGAUCAACAGGAAGUAGCAUCAUUUGAGUGUCCURAAGGCCAUGGGAAGACCAAAAGGAGCCAAUCGAUUAGGUUGCUGCAGAAACGCUAUCGCGUUCGAAAAGCUAUCGCACUCGACGCCAUGCCGACCCAGAAAGGAGAGAGAGAUACUUAAAAGAAGGAACAGCAGAAAUACAGGGAGGACAAGGCAGGAAGAAAACAGUCAACAUUUAGUAAGAGGGGAAAAGCGCAGACGUCGCAAAAAGCGGAGGGAGACUUUACUACAGGAUCAAGUCCAGGAUAGAAGCCACGAAGCACCUCACUACGCCUCCAGAUAGCCCAGUUCCAGCUACGAUGAAGAUGCAUCAGGCAGUAAACCUAGUCCACGGAGAGCUGACCUACAGGGAUGUCAGCUGCUUGUGCACAGCAAGACAUCCUCUGAGCUGUGAGUGCUUUUUAAUGCAACGCAUUUCACAUUCAAAUUGACAGAAGGCUCCCACGACCACAGAAAAUCAGUAGCAAAGUCCUGAGGUUGUCGGCGAAUGGUGUGUGCUGAAGUACGAUGGUCAACUGUACCCUGGCAUCAUCCCAGAUACAAACAACACACACGUCAAGGUUCGUUGUAUGAAAAGGACUGGGGCCAACAGUUGUUGCUGGGCAGCACGCGAAGACAUCCUUUGGUACCCCUKUCAAGACUUCCUGUGUACCAUCCCACCAGCGAGGCGGUGGCUGUGUACCAGCGAGCGAUAGGUCGUCACAUGGAAAUUGACAACGACGUCUGGGCCAAACUAGAGACUGUUUCUUAGAAAAGGCAAGUUUUUGUUCAUUCAUUUAUUGCAAUUCUAUAUGAAAUACAAUUGUAUGUCGUGUUUGCAAGUGAAUGUUGUGUUUUAUAUGCAUAAAAUAGUACUUUCAAGUUAAUAUUAGAUACUGGUAGUCAAUGUAGAGAUCUGAGGAUCUGCUUAAUAUUCUCAGCUUUUUGUAUUUGUUGUCUUUCUUGCCUUUUGUAGAGGAAGAUGGAGAACCCAUGCUGUGCAGAGGCAGGAGCCAGACACACAUGCUGCAGGGGGAUACUCACACCUCUCUCUCGCUCUCUCUCUACCGCCCACCCCACCCCGCACACACACACACAAGCACGCGCUCACAUACACGCACACGCACUCAUGCAAAAGCACACACACACAAUUGUUACUGCUUUAUGUUGCUAUUUAGACUCAGAUCUUUUUGGCCAAAUAUAAUGACCUCUGUUUUAUCUUUGUUUAAUUGAAGGAAGUUCUGUGACAUCCAGUUAUUCUCACACACACAAGCACUCAUUCCUGGUACUCAGUGCUCAUUCCUGUUACUUCAUUUUUU
Salvelinus sp. IW2-2015 is the source of this 2016-nucleotide non-coding RNA. The record is from RefSeq and is a predicted model, not a curated record. NCBI's taxonomy places the organism in Eukaryota, Metazoa, Chordata, Actinopteri, Salmoniformes, Salmonidae.